Molecule: long non-coding RNA, 1124 nt
Filed under: Homo sapiens (human)
Lineage: Eukaryota; Metazoa; Chordata; Mammalia; Primates; Hominidae
Description: LINGO1 antisense RNA 1
Source: RNAcentral
AUGGACAUGGCACCCACAUUGGCACCCUCUGGUCUUGUCCCCACAGGACACCCCUCUGUCAUGGUGAUCAAGACGGCUAGGGGGCAGGGAAGGCGAGAAGAGGGAGGAGACACUGGUGUGACUCAUAGCAAAGUAAGAGCUUCUUCCCUCCUCUCUGCACCCCAAAUACGGCUGCAUUAGAACUAAGCAAGCUAUUGAUACCACACUGACCUAAAAAUAACAAAUGGCGAAGUCAGUGGCCUAGGAGGCUGGAGAAUCUUAACACCAGGUGGCCCAGGGCAUACCCAGAGCUUCUGGCAACCGAAAUCUGGAAAAAGUGGUAACAGUUCCAUCUGGUCAAAUGACAAAAGCCUAAAUUUGUAUCAAGUAGUGGCUGAUAACAGUCAAUUUCUACCUAGAAGGCACUACGUUGGAUCUAGGUGUUCAGGGUUCUUUAAGUCAUGCUCUGAAUGAAUAAGCAAUGAUUCCAAAGUAUGUGAAGCUAGCCUCACAGAUUGAAGUCCUUGAAAUCACACUUUCCAAACAGCUUCAAAUGAAGAACAAGCUCAUACAAACUCAAGAGUGCUUGAUCGAUGAGCAACUCCAGCAAGUGAAGACAUCACAGUCUGGGGCAGUGCAUGGCUGACCCCUUUACCUGUUGAACUAGCUGCUUUGGCCCUUGUUUCAAGGGAAAAGGGCUCUAGAGGAAUUGGGGGUUUGGUCCUCUUAAGGUCUGAGGUCUUUGGGUCUCUGGGUUUGGUCAGGCCCUUAGGGACUGUGGGCUUAGGCUGAGCAAGGGUAGCCUUGGGACAUGUCUCAAACUCUGGUGAAGUCAAGAAAGGCCACAGAGUGGAAAAUCCAGAAUCUACAUCCCAUUCGUGCCAGAGCCCUGUUCCAUCCACUCUCUGAGCAGAUGUCUCCCUACGAAGGCCCAAGGGACUCCUGAAAAGCAGGCACGAAUAGACCGCAGAGUUAAACAGUGCAAGGGCAUGCUGUGGACCCACCCACUUUGGGUAAAUCUUUUGACUUCUCUGUGAAUCAGAAAAUCAAUGGGAUAGACUAUGCCUCACAGGGCCACCCUAGGGAUCGAAUAAGAUGAUGGAUACCAAAGUGCUUCAUUAACAAUAAAGUGCCAAAAAGAGUUA